This 154-nucleotide ribosomal RNA is filed under the name uncultured Mycobacterium sp. RNAcentral describes it as "partial 16S ribosomal RNA". It matches the Rfam family "Bacterial small subunit ribosomal RNA", at positions 314 to 466 of the family's 1533-position model. Lineage: Bacteria; Bacillati; Actinomycetota; Actinomycetes; Mycobacteriales; Mycobacteriaceae. The record is from RNAcentral.
UACUCCUACGGGAGGCAGCAUACUCGUAUGGGAGGCAGCAGUGGGGAAUAUUGCACAAUGGGCGCAAGCCUGAUGCAGCGACGCCGCGUGAGGGAUGACGGCUUUCGGGUUGUAAACCUCUUCAGCAGGACGAAGCGCAAGUGACGUACCGAAA